Thalassophryne amazonica is the source of this 256-nucleotide long non-coding RNA. RefSeq lists it as uncharacterized. The transcript has 2 exons. The record is from RefSeq and is a predicted model, not a curated record. Lineage: Eukaryota; Metazoa; Chordata; Actinopteri; Batrachoidiformes; Batrachoididae.
ACAAACCAGAAAAAUCUUCAGAGGAUUUGGAGGCCUGUGUCACAGCACCAACACCAAACACUCAUCCUUCCCGGCCGGAGAAACCCUACAGCUGCUCCCAGUGUGGAAAGGCAUACGCCAGCCGAAGCGGACUCAAGGGCCACAUGAAAACUCAUCCUGGGGGGCCGACGAAUGUCCCCCCCAAGACUCAAACCAAUGAAAGUGACACUGCAGAGGAUCACAAAGCACAUUCGGCCAAUAAGAACCUCGCAGACCA